Xyrichtys novacula (pearly razorfish) is the source of this 11768-nucleotide non-coding RNA. The record is from the annotation of a GenBank genome assembly. Lineage: Eukaryota; Metazoa; Chordata; Actinopteri; Labriformes; Labridae.
UUAGGUUUAAAAUCACUGUCCAAAACCUUUGUAGGAACUCUUUUUCAACCUUUUGGAGUUAGUUAGACCAAAAAAAAAAGAAAAAUGAAAAAAAAAAUAUUUGGGGUUUACGGGCUUCCUGAAUGUAAUACCCGGGUAUUAGAUUUUAAGGCCAGGGUAAGGUUUAAGUUUUUUGGCGUUAGGGUUAAAAUCACUGUCCAAAACCUUUGUAGAAACUCUUUUCCAACCUUUUGGAGUUAGUUAGACCAAAAAAAAAAUAAAAAUGAAAAAAAAAUAUUUGGGGUGUUCAGGCUUCCUAAAAGUAAUACCUGGGUAUUAGGUUAUGGGGCUAUGGUAAGGUUUAAGGUUUUUGGCGUUAGGGUUAAAAUCACUGUACAAAACCUUUGUAGGAACUCUUUUCCAACCUUUUGGAGUUGGUUACACCAAAAAAAAUGUAAAAUGAAAAAAAAAAAAUAUUUGGGGUGUUCGGGCUUCCUGAAUGUAAUACCCGGGUAUUAGAUUUUAAGGCCAGGGUAAGGUUUAAGUUUUUUGGCAUUAGGGUUAAAAUCACUGUCCAAAACCUUUGUAGGAACACUUUUCCAACCUUUUGGAGUUGGUUAGACCAAAAAAAAAGAAAAAUGAAAAAAAAAUAUUUGGGGUGUUCAGGCUUCCUAAAAGUAAUACCCAGGUAUUAGGUUAUGGGGCUAUGGUAAGGUUUAAGUUUUUUGGCGUUAGGGUUAAAAUCACUGUCCAAAACCUUUGUAGGAACUCUUUUCCAACCUUUUGGAGUUAGUUAGACCAAAAAAAAAUGAAAAAUUAAAAAACAAUAUUUGGGGUUUUCGGGGUUCCUGAAUGUAAUACCCGGGUAUUAGAUUUUGAGGCUAGGGUAAGGUUUAAGUUUUGUGGCAUUAGGGUUAAAAUCACUGUCCAAAACCUUUGUAGGAACUCUUUUCCAACCUUUUGGAGUUGGUUACACCAACAAAAAUGUAAAAUGAAAAAAAAAAUAUUUGGGGUGUUCAGGCUUCCUAAAAGUAAUACCCAGGUAUUAGGUUAUGGGGCUAUGGUAAGGUUUAAGGUUUUUGGCGUUAGGGUUAAAAUCACUGUACAAAACCUUUGUAGGAACUUUUUUCCAACCUUUUGGAGUUGGUUACACCAAAAAAAAUGUAAAAUGAAAAAAAAAAAAUAUUUGGGGUGUUCGGGCUUCCUGAAUGUAAUACCCGGGUAUUAGAUUUUAAGGCCAGGGUAAGGUUUAAGUUUUUUGGCAUUAGGGUUAAAAUCACUGUCCAAAACCUUUGUAGGAACUCUUUUCUAACCUUUUGGAGUUAGUUAGACCAAAAAAAAAUGAAAAAUUAAAAAACAAUAUUUGGGGUGUUCAGGCGUCCUAAAAGUAAUACCCAGGUAUUAGGUUAUGGGGCUAUGGUAAGGUUUAAGUUUUUUGGCGUUAGGGUUAAAAUCACUGUCCAAAACCUUUGUAGGAACUCUUUUCCAACCUUUUGGAGUUGGUUACACCAACAAAAAUGUAAAAUGAAGAAAAAAAUAUUUGGGGUGUUCAGGCUUCCUGAAGGUAAUACCCGGGUAUUAGAUUUCAAGGCUAGGGUAAGGUUUAAGGUUUUUGGCGUUAGGGUUAAAAUCACUGUCCAAAACCUUUGUAGGAACUCUUUUCCAACCUUUUGGAGUUAGUUAGACCAAAAAAUAUGAAAAAAGAAAAAAGUAUUAUUGGGGGUUUUCGGGCUCCCUGAAAGUAAUACCCGUGUAUUAGGUUUUGGGACUAGGGAAAGGUUUAAGGGUUUUGGCGUUAGGGUUAAAAUCACUGUCCAAAACCUUUGUAGGAACUCUUUUCCAACCUUUUGGAGUUAGUUAGACCAAAAAAUAUGAAAAAAGAAAAAAAUAUUAUCGGGGGUUUUCGGGCUCCCUGAAAGUAAUACCCGUGUAUUAGGUUUUGGGACUAGGGAAAGGUUUAAGGUUUUUGGCGUUAGGGUUAAAAUCACUGUCCAAAACCUUUGUAGGAACUCUUUUCCAACCUUUUGGAGUUAGUUAGACCAAAAAAAAAAGAAAAAUGAAAAAAAAAAUAUUUGGGGUGUUCAGGCUUCCUAAAAGUAAUACCCGGGUAUUAGGUUAUGGGGCUAUGGUAAGGUUUAACGUUUUGGCGUUAGGUUUAAAAUCACUGUCCAAAACCUUUGUAGGAACUCUUUUCCAACCUUUUGGAGUUAGUUAGACCAAAAAAUAUGAAAAAAGAAAAAAAUAUUAUUGGGGGUUUUCGGGCUCCCUGAAAGUAAUACCCGGGUAUUAGGUUUUGGGGCUAUGGUAAGGUUUAAGUUUUUUGGCGUUAGGGUUAAAAUCACUGUCCAAAACCUUUGUAGGAACUCUUUUCCAACCUUUUGGAGUUGGUUACACCAAAAAAAAUGUAAAAUGAAAAAAAAAAAUAUUUGGGGUGUUCGGGCUUCCUGAAUGUAAUACCCGGGUAUUAGAUUUUAAGGCCAGGGUAAGGUUUAAGUUUUUUGGCAUUAGGGUUAAAAUCACUGUCCAAAACCUUUGUAGGAACACUUUUCCAACCUUUUGGAGUUGGUUAGACCAAAAAAAAAAGAAAAAUGAAAAAAAAAUAUUUGGGGUGUUCAGGCUUCCUAAAAGUAAUACCCAGGUAUUAGGUUAUGGGGCUAUGGUAAGGUUUAAGUUUUUUGGCGUUAGGGUUAAAAUCACUGUCCAAAACCUUUGUAGGAACUCUUUUCCAACCUUUUGGAGUUAGUUAGACCAAAAAAUAUGAAAAAAGAAAAAAAUAUUAUUGGGGGUUUUCGGGCUCCCUGAAAGUAAUACCCGUGUAUUAGGUUUUGGGACUAGGGAAAGGUUUAAGGUUUUUGGCGUUAGGGUUAAAAUCACUGUCCAAAACCUUUGUAGGAACUCUUUUCCAACCUUUUGGAGUUAGUUAGACCAAAAAAAAAAAGAAAAAUGAAAAAAAAAUAUUUGGGGUGUUCAGGCUUCCUAAAAGUAAUACCCGGGUAUUAGGUUAUGGGGCUAGGGUAAGGUUUAAGGUUUUUGGCGUUAGGGUUGAAAUCACUGUCCAAAACCUUUGUAGGAACGCUUUUUCAACCUUUUGGAGUUAGUUAGACCAAAAAAAAAAAGAAAAAUGAAAAAAAAAAUAUUUGGGGUUUACGGGCUUCCUGAAUGUAAUACCCGGGUAUUAAAUUUCAAGGCCAGGGUAAGGUUUAAGUUUUUUGGCGUUAGGGUUAAAAUCACUGUCCAAAACCUUUGUAGGAACUCUUUUCCAACCUUUUGGAGUUAGUUAGACCAAAAAAAAAAGAAAAAUGAAAAAAAAAUAUUUGGGGUGUUCAGGCUUCCUAAAAGUAAUACCUGGGUAUUAGGUUAUGGGGCUAUGGUAAGGUUUAAGGUUUUUGGCGUUAGGGUUAAAAUCACUGUCCAAAACCUUUGUAGGAACUCUUUUCCAACCUUUUGGAGUUGGUUACACCAAAAAAAAUGUAAAAUGAAAAAAAAAAAUAUUUGGGGUGUUCGGGCUUCCUGAAUGUAAUACCCGGGUAUUAGAUUUUAAGGCCAGGGUAAGGUUUAAGUUUUUUGGCAUUAGGGUUAAAAUCACUGUCCAAAACCUUUGUAGGAACACUUUUCCAACCUUUUGGAGUUGGUUAGACCAAAAAAAAAAGAAAAAUGAAAAAAAAUAUAUUUGGGGUGUUCAGGCUUCCUAAAAGUAAUACCCAGGUAUUAGGUUAUGGGGCUAUGGUAAGGUUUAAGUUUUUUGGCGUUAGGGUUAAAAUCACUGUCCAAAACCUUUGUAGGAACUCUUUUCCAACCUUUUGGAGUUAGUUAGACCAAAAAAAAAUGAAAAAUUAAAAAACAAUAUUUGGGGUUUUCGGGGUUCCUGAAUGUAAUACCCGGGUAUUAGAUUUUGAGGCUAGGGUAAGGUUUAAGUUUUGUGGCAUUAGGGUUAAAAUCACUGUCCAAAACCUUUGUAGGAACUCUUUUCCAACCUUUUGGAGUUGGUUACACCAACAAAAAUGUAAAAUGAAAAAAAAAAUAUUUGGGGUGUUCAGGCUUCCUAAAAGUAAUACCCAGGUAUUAGGUUAUGGGGCUAUGGUAAGGUUUAAGGUUUUUGGCGUUAGGGUUAAAAUCACUGUCCAAAACCUUUGUAGGAACUCUUUUCCAACCUUUUGGAGUUGGUUACACCAAAAAAAAUGUAAAAUGAAAAAAAAAAAAUAUUUGGGGUGUUCGGGCUUCCUGAAUGUAAUACCCGGGUAUUAGAUUUUAAGGCCAGGGUAAGGUUUAAGUUUUUUGGCAUUAGGGUUAAAAUCACUGUCCAAAACCUUUGUAGGAACUCUUUUCCAACCUUUUGGAGUUAGUUAGACCAAAAAAAAAUGAAAAAUUAAAAAACAAUAUUUGGGGUGUUCAGGCUUCCUAAAAGUAAUACCCAGGUAUUAGGUUAUGGGGCUAUGGUAAGGUUUAAGUUUUUUGGUGUUAGGGUUAAAAUCACUGUCCAAAACCUUUGUAGGAACUCUUUUCCAACCUUUUGGAGUUGGUUACACCAACAAAAAUGUAAAAUGAAGAAAAAAAUAUUUGGGGUGUUCAGGCUUCCUGAAGGUAAUACCCGGGUAUUAGAUUUCAAGGCUAGGGUAAGGUUUAAGGUUUUUGGCGUUAGGGUUAAAAUCACUGUCCAAAACCUUUGUAGGAACUCUUUUCCAACCUUUUGGAGUUAGUUAGACCAAAAAAUAUGAAAAAAGAAAAAAGUAUUAUUGGGGGUUUUCGGGCUCCCUGAAAGUAAUACCCGUGUAUUAGGUUUUGGGACUAGGGAAAGGUUUAAGGGUUUUGGCGUUAGGGUUAAAAUCACUGUCCAAAACCUUUGUAGGAACUCUUUUCCAACCUUUUGGAGUUAGUUAGACCAAAAAAUAUGAAAAAAGAAAAAAAUAUUAUUGGGGGUUUUCGGGCUUCCUGAAAGUAAUACCCGUGUAUUAGGUUUUGGGACUAGGGAAAGGUUUAAGGUUUUUGGCGUUAGGGUUAAAAUCACUGUCCAAAACCUUUGUAGGAACUCUUUUCCAACCUUUUGGAGUUAGUUAGACCAAAAAAAAAAGAAAAAUGAAAAAAAAUAUUUGGGGUGUUCAGGCUUCCUAAAAGUAAUACCCGGGUAUUAGGUUAUGGGGCUAUGGUAAGGUUUAAGUUUUUGGCGUUAGGGUUAAAAUCACUGUCCAAAACCUUUGUAGGAACUCUUUUCCAACCUUUUGGAGUUAGUUAGACCAAAAAAAUGAAAAAGAAAAAAAAUAUUAUUGGGGGUUUUCGGGCUUCCUGAAAGUAAUACCCGGGUAUUAGGUUUUGGGGCUAUGGUAAGGUUUAAGUUUUUUGGCGUUAGGGUUAAAAUCACUGUCCAAAACCUUUGUAGGAACUCUUUUCCAACCUUUUGGAGUUGGUUACACCAAAAAAAAUGUAAAAUGAAAAAAAAAAAAUAUUUGGGGUGUUCGGGCUUCCUGAAUGUAAUACCCGGGUAUUAGAUUUUAAGGCCAGGGUAAGGUUUAAGGGUUUUGGCGUUAGGGUUAAAAUCACUGUCCAAAACCUUUGUAGGAACUCUUUUCCAACCUUUGUGAGUUAGUUAGACCAAAAAAAAAAGAAAAAUGAAAAAAAAAUAUUUGGGGUGUUCAGGCUUCCUAAAAGUAAUACCUGGGUAUUAGGUUAUGGGGCUAUGGUAAGGUUUAAGGUUUUUGGCGUUAGGGUUAAAAUCACUGUCCAAAACCUUUGUAGGAACUCUUUUCCAACCUUUUGGAGUUAGUUACACCAAAAAAAAUGAAAAAUGAAAAAAAAAAUAUUUGGGGUUUACGGGCUUCCUGAAUGUAAUACCCGGGUAUUAAAUUUUAAGGCUAGGGUAAGGUUUAAGUUUUUUGGCGUUAGGGUUAAAAUCACUGUCCAAAACCUUUGUAGGAACUCUUUUCCAACCUUUUGGAGUUAGUUAGACCAAAAAAAAAAGAAAAAUGAAAAAAAAAAUAUUUGGGGUGUUCAGGCUUCCUAAAAGUAAUACCCGGGUAUUAGGUUAUGGGGCUAUGGUAAGGUUUAAGGUUUUUGGCGUUAGGGUUAAAAUCACUGUCCAAAACCUUUGUAGGAACUCUUUUCCAACCUUUUGGAGUUGGUUAGACCAAAAAAAAUGUAAAAUGAAAAAAAAAAUAUUUGGGGUGUUCAGGCUUCCUAAAAGUAAUACCUGGGUAUUAGGUUAUGGGGCUAUGGUAAGGUUUAAGGUUUUUGGCGUUAGGGUUAAAAUCACUGUCCAAAACCUUUGUAGGAACUCUUUUCCAACCUUUUGGAGUUGGUUACACCAAAAAAAAUGUAAAAUGAAAAAAAAAAAAUAUUUGGGGUGUUCGGGCUUCCUGAAUGUAAUAUUGUAUUAGAUUUUAAGGCCAGGGUAAGGUUUAAGGGUUUUGGCGUUAGGGUUAAAAUCACUGUCCAAAACCUUUGUAGGAACUCUUUUCCAACCUUUGUGAGUUAGUUAGACCAAAAAAAAAAGAAAAAUGAAAAAAAAAUAUUUGGGGUGUUCAGGCUUCCUAAAAGUAAUACCUGGGUAUUAGGUUAUGGGGCUAUGGUAAGGUUUAAGGUUUUUGGCGUUAGGGUUAAAAUCACUGUCCAAAACCUUUGUAGGAACUCUUUUCCAACCUUUUGGAGUUGGUUACACCAAAAAAAAUGUAAAAUGAAAAAAAAAAAUAUUUGGGGUUUACGGGCUUCCUGAAUGUAAUACCCGGGUAUUAGAUUUUAAGGCCAGGGUAAGGUUUAAGUUUUUUGGCGUUAGGGUUAAAAUCACUGUCCAAAACCUUUGUAGGAACUCUUUUCCAACCUUUUGGAGUUAGUUAGACCAAAAAAAAAAAGAAAAAUGAAAAAAAAAUAUUUGGGGUGUUCAGGCUUCCUAAAAGUAAUACCUGGGUAUUAGGUUAUGGGGCUAUGGUAAGGUUUAAGGUUUUUGGCGUUAGGGUUAAAAUCACUGUCCAAAACCUUUGUAGGAACUCUUUUCCAACCUUUGUGAGUUAGUUAGACCAAAAAAAAAAGAAAAAUGAAAAAAAAAUAUUUGGGGUGUUCAGGCUUCCUAAAAGUAAUACCUGGGUAUUAGGUUAUGGGGCUAUGGUAAGGUUUAAGGUUUUUGGCGUUAGGGUUAAAAUCACUGUCCAAAACCUUUGUAGGAACUCUUUUCCAACCUUUUGGAGUUAGUUAGACCAAAAAAAAUGUAAAAUGAAAAAAAAAAAAUAUUUGGGGUGUUCGGGCUUCCUGAAUGUAAUACCCGGGUAUUAGAUUUUAAGGCCAGGGUAAGGUUUAAGGGUUUUGGCGUUAGGGUUAAAAUCACUGUCCAAAACCUUUGUAGGAACUCUUUUCCAACCUUUUGGAGUUGGUUACACCAAAAAAAAUGUAAAAUGAAAAAAAAAAAAUAUUUGGGGUUUACGGGCUUCCUGAAUGUAAUACCCGGGUAUUAAAUUUUAAGGCCAGGGUAAGGUUUAAGUUUUUUGGCGUUAGGGUUAAAAUCACUGUCCAAAACCUUUGUAGGAACUCUUUUCCAACCUUUUGGAGUUAGUUAGACCAAAAAAAAAAGAAAAAUGAAAAAAAAAUAUUUGGGGUGUUCAGGCUUCCUAAAAGUAAUACCUGGGUAUUAGGUUAUGGGGCUAUGGUAAGGUUUAAGGUUUUUGGCGUUAGGGUUAAAAUCACUGUCCAAAACCUUUGUAGGAACUCUUUUCCAACCUUUUGGAGUUGGUUACACCAAAAAAAAUGUAAAAUGAAAAAAAAAAAAUAUUUGGGGUGUUCGGGCUUCCUGAAUGUAAUAUUGUAUUAGAUUUUAAGGCCAGGGUAAGGUUUAAGUUUUUUGGCAUUAGGGUUAAAAUCACUGUCCAAAGCCUUUGUAGGAACACUUUUCCAACCUUUUGGAGUUGGUUAGACCAAAAAAAAAAGAAAAAUGAAAAAAAAAAUAUUUGGGGUGUUCAGGCUUCCUCAAAGUAAUACCCAGGUAUUAGGUUAUGGGGCUAUGGUAAGGUUUAAGUUUUUUGGCGUUAGGGUUAAAAUCACUGUCCAAAACCUUUGUAGGAACUCUUUUCCAACCUUUUGGAGUUGGUUACACCAACAAAAAUGUAAAAUGAAGAAAAAAAUAUUUGGGGUGUCAGGCUUCCUGAAGGUAAUACCCGGGUAUUAGAUUUCAAGGCUAAGGUAAGGUUUAAGGUUUUUGGCGUUAGGGUUAAAAUCACUGUCCAAAACCUUUGUAGGAACUCUUUUCCAACCUUUUGGAGUUAGUUAGACCAAAAAAUAUGAAAAAAGAAAAAAGUAUUAUUGGGGGUUUUCGGGCUCCCUGAAAGUAAUACCCGUGUAUAUGGUUUUGGGACUAGGGAAAGGUUUAAGGGUUUUGGCGUUAGGGUUAAAAUCACUGUCCAAAACCUUUGUAGGAACUCUUUUCCAACCUUUGUGAGUUAGUUAGACCAAAAAAAAAAGAAAAAUGAAAAAAAAAUAUUUGGGGUGUUCAGGCUUCCUAAAAGUAAUACCCGGGUAUUAGGUUAUGGGGCUAUGGUAAGGUUUAACGUUUUGGCGUUAGGUUUAAAAUCACUGUCCAAAACCUUUGUAGGAACUCUUUAACAACCUUUUGGAUUUAGUUAGACCAAAAAAAAAUGAAAAAUUAAAAAAAAUAUAUUUGGGGUGUUCAGGCUUCCUAAAAGUAAUACCCGGGUAUUAGGUUAUGGGGCUAUGGUAAGGUUUAAGGUUUUUGGCGUUAAGGUUAAAAUCACUGUCCAAAACCUUUGUAGGAACUCUUUUUCAACCUUUUGGAGUUAGUUAGACCAAAAAAAAAUGAAAAAUGAAAAAAAAAAUAUUUGGGGUUUACGGGCUUCCUGAAUGUAAUACCCGGGUAUUAGAUUUUAAGGCCAGGGAAAGGUUUACGUUUUUUGGCGUUAGGGUUAAAAUCACUGUCCAAAACCUUUGUAGGAACUCUUUUCCAACCUUUUGGAGUUAGUUAGACCAAAAAAUAUGAAAAAAGAAAAAAGUAUUAUUGGGGGUUUUCGGGCUCCCUGAAAGUAAUACCCGUGUAUUAGGUUUUGGGACUAGGGAAAGGUUUAAGGGUUUUGGCGUUAGGGUUAAAAUCACUGUCCAAAACCUUUGUAGGAACUCUUUUCCAACCUUUGUGAGUUAGUUAGACCAAAAAAAAAAGAAAAAUGAAAAAAAAAUAUUUGGGGUGUUCAGGCUUCCUAAAAGUAAUACCCGGGUAUUAGGUUAUGGGGCUAUGGUAAGGUUUAACGUUUUGGCGUUAGGUUUAAAAUCACUGUCCAAAACCUUUGUAGGAACUCUUUUCCAACCUUUUGGAUUUAGUUAGACCAAAAAAAAAUGAAAAAUUAAAAAAAAUAUAUUUGGGGUGUUCAGGCUUCCUAAAAGUAAUACCCGGGUAUUAGGUUAUGGGGCUAUGGUAAGGUUUAAGGUUUUUGGCGUUAAGGUUAAAAUCACUGUCCAAAACCUUUGUAGGAACUCUUUUUCAACCUUUUGGAGUUAGUUAGACCAAAAAAAAAAAUGAAAAAUGAAAAAAAAAAUAUUUGGGGUUUUACGGGCUUCCUGAAUGUAAUACCCGGGUAUUAGAUUUUAAGGCCAGGGAAAGGUUUAAGUUUUUUGGCGUUAGGGUUAAAAUCACUGUCCAAAACCUUUGUAGGAACUCUUUUCCAACCUUUUGGAGUUAGUUAGACCAAAAAAUAUGAAAAAAGAAAAAAAUAUUAUUGGGGGUUUUCGGGCUCCCUGAAGGUAAUACCCAGGUAUUAGGUUUUGGGACUGAGAAAGGCUUAAGGUUUUUGGCGUUAGGGUUAAAAUCACUGUCCAAAACCUUUGUAGGAACUCUUUUCCAACCUUUUGGUGUUAGUUUGACCAAAAAAAAAUGAAAAAUUAAAAAACAAUAUUUGGGGUUUUCGGGGUUCCUGAAUGUAAUACCCGGGUAUUAGGUUUUGGGGCUAGGGUAAGGUUUAAGGUUUUUGGCGUUAGGGUUAAAAUCACUGUCCAAAACCUUUGUAGGAACUCUUUUCCAACCUUUUGGAGUUGGUUACACCAACAAAAAUGUAAAAUGAAGAAAAAAAUAUUUGGGGUGUUCAGGCUUCCUGAAGGUAAUACCCGGGUAUUAGAUUUCAAGGCUAAGGUAAGGUUUAAGGUUUUUGGCGUUAGGGUUAAAAUCACUGUCCAAAACCUUUGUAGGAACUCUUUUCCAACCUUUUGGAGUUAGUUAGACCAAAAAAUAUGAAAAAAGAAAAAAGUAUUAUUGGGGGUUUUCGGGCUCCCUGAAAGUAAUACCCGUGUAUAUGGUUUUGGGACUAGGGAAAGGUUUAAGGGUUUUGGCGUUAGGGUUAAAAUCACUGUCCAAAACCUUUGUAGGAACUCUUUUCCAACCUUUGUGAGUUAGUUAGACCAAAAAAAAAAAGAAAAAUGAAAAAAAAAUAUUUGGGGUGUUCAGGCUUCCUAAAAGUAAUACCCGGGUAUUAGGUUAUGGGGCUAUGGUAAGGUUUAACGUUUUGGCGUUAGGUUUAAAAUCACUGUCCAAAACCUUUGUAGGAACUCUUUUCCAACCUUUUGGAUUUAGUUAGACCAAAAAAAAAAGAAAAAUGAAAAAAAAUAUAUUUGGGGUGUUCAGGCUUCCUAAAAGUAAUACCCGGGUAUUAGGUUAUGGGGCUAUGGUAAGGUUUAAGGUUUUUGGCGUUAAGGUUAAAAUCACUGUCCAAAACCUUUGUAGGAACUCUUUUCCAACCUUUUGGAGUUAGUUAGACCAAAAAAAAAAUGAAAAAUGAAAAAAAAAUAUUUGGGGUUUACGGGCUUCCUGAAUGUAAUACCCGGGUAUUAGAUUUUAAGGCCAGGGAAAGGUUUACGUUUUUUGGCGUUAGGGUUAAAAUCACUGUCCAAAACCUUUGUAGGAACUCUUUUCCAACCUUUUGGAGUUAGUUAGACCAAAAAAUAUGAAAAAAGAAAAAAAUAUUAUUGGGGGUUUUCGGGCUCCCUGAAAGUAAUACCCGUGUAUUAGGUUUUGGGACUAGGGAAAGGUUUAAGGGUUUUGGCGUUAGGGUUAAAAUCACUGUCCAAAACCUUUGUAGGAACUCUUUUCCAACCUUUGUGAGUUAGUUAGACCAAAAAAAAAAGAAAAAUGAAAAAAAAAUAUUUGGGGUGUUCAGGCUUCCUAAAAGUAAUACCCGGGUAUUAGGUUAUGGGGCUAUGGUAAGGUUUAACGUUUUGGCGUUAGGUUUAAAAUCACUGUCCAAAACCUUUGUAGGAACUCUUUUCCAACCUUUUGGAGUUAGUUAGACCAAAAAAAAAUGAAAAAUGAAAAAAAAUAUAUUUGGGGUGUUCAGGCUUCCUAAAAGUAAUACCCGGGUAUUAGGUUAUGGGGCUAUGGUAAGGUUUAAGGUUUUUGGCGUUAAGGUUAAAAUCACUGUCCAAAACCUUUGUAGGAACUCUUUUUCAACCUUUUGGAGUUAGUUAGACCAAAAAAAAAUGAAAAAUGAAAAAAAAAAUAUUUGGGGUUCACGGGCUUCCUGAAUGUAAUACCCGGGUAUUAGAUUUUAAGGCCAGGGAAAGGUUUAAGUUUUUUGGCGUUAGGGUUAAAAUCACUGUCCAAAACCUUUGUAGGAACUCUUUUCCAACCUUUUGGAGUUAGUUAGACCAAAAAAUAUGAAAAAAGAAAAAAAUAUUAUUGGGGGUUUUCGGGCUCCCUGAAGGUAAUACCCAGGUAUUAGGUUUUGGGACUGAGAAAGGCUUAAGGUUUUUGGCGUUAGGGUUAAAAUCACUGUCCAAAACCUUUGUAGGAACUCUUUUCCAACCUUUUGGUGUUAGUU